ACAUAUGAGGCUGGCUAGGCGGGUGUCCCCUUCCUCCCUCACCACUCCUUGUACAUCCGUCCCGAAACCGCAUGCUCCAUCUAAGAGGACAACCUUCCCCCAUAGAGGACAGGACUGUUCUUCCAUCAAAGGUGUAAGAGUGGCUGCGCUCCCUUGCUGGAACCUCCACACAAGCUCUACUCAUCCUGAUUUAAAAGGUAGUUAUCUGCCUCUGAAUUUGAACUGUACAUACUGGCUACCAUUAU
RNAcentral lists this small nuclear RNA (245 nucleotides) under Pteropus vampyrus (large flying fox). RNAcentral's name for it is "7SK RNA (ENSPVAG00000029663.1)". It matches the Rfam family "7SK RNA", at positions 61 to 331 of the family's 331-position model. From Rfam's summary of the family: 7SK was discovered as an abundant small nuclear RNA in the mid-70s but a possible function has only recently been suggested. Two independent studies have found that 7SK RNA binds the CDK9/cyclin T complex (known as elongation factor P-TEFb). Lineage: Eukaryota; Metazoa; Chordata; Mammalia; Chiroptera; Pteropodidae. The record is from RNAcentral.